Beta vulgaris subsp. vulgaris (sugar beet) is the source of this 344-nucleotide long non-coding RNA. RefSeq lists it as uncharacterized. Lineage: Eukaryota; Viridiplantae; Streptophyta; Magnoliopsida; Caryophyllales; Amaranthaceae. The record is from RefSeq and is a predicted model, not a curated record. The transcript is spliced from 2 exons.
GAGAAGCAAAUCAAAAUUGAAUUAAACACAAAAAGUGAAGACAUCAUAUUCUAUCAAUGUAUACUAGCUAACAAUCUUCCUUCUUCUCUUCAUACUGGUUUAAGUGCGGAACUUGAUGAUGUUUGAUGCUUUAAUGAGAUUGUUCAUGAUACCGUCUUUUUUGGGGGGAGGGGUUUUCAAGGUAAUUACUAGCUAACUCAGCGUAGUUUGAGCACUUGACACGUGGGAAACUCAAUGAGUUAAAAUUGCAGAUUGAUCUUAUGUGUGCUGAUUUUGAUGAUGAAAUUUUAGGUCUUCAAUCUCAAGGUCACAAACUCAUAGAUGUAAUUCAAGUUCACUUUUCA